RNAcentral lists this ribosomal RNA (448 nucleotides) under uncultured bacterium. RNAcentral's name for it is "bacterial SSU rRNA". It matches the Rfam family "Bacterial small subunit ribosomal RNA", at positions 355 to 825 of the family's 1533-position model. The record is from RNAcentral.
UGGGGAAUCUUGGACAAUGGGCGCAAGCCUGAUCCGGCCAUACCGCGUGAGUGAAGAAGGCCCUCGGGUUGUAAACCGCUUUCAGAAGGAACGAAACUGACGGUACUUUCAGAAGAAGGUGCGGCCAACUACGUGCCAGCAGCCGCGGUGACACGUAGGCACCAAGCGUUGUCCGGAUUUAUUGGGCGUAAAGAGCUCGUAGGCGGUUCAGUAAGUCGGGUGUGAAAACUUUGGGCUUAACCCAAAGCGUGCAUCCGAUACUGCUGUGACUUGAGUACGGUAGGGGAGCGGGGAAUUCCUAGUGUAGCGGUGAAAUGCGCAGAUAUUAGGAGGAACACCGGUGGCGAAGGCGCCGCUCUGGGCCGAAACUGACGCUGAGGAGCGAAAGCAUGGGUAGCAAACAGGAUUAGAUACCCGGGUAGUCCCUGAGCGGGCUGGCAAGGCGCAU